AGAGGAGAGGAGGAGCAGGAGCAGGAGCAGGGGCAGUGGAAGACGGUGCUUUCACACUGGAGUUAACCCAGCAGCCCCAAAGGAUGAAGCAUUGUGAACUGGGAAAAGGGAGGCAGCGUAAUGGUAAACUGAGGCAUUCUAGAAUGCUGGCAGCAUUUGCUCUUACAGGCGAUGUGUUAACUAAGGUCACUAGAGGUGAAUCAAUAUUUGUUCUUUUUAAUACAUUUAUAUGUAAAAAGUGACAAGAACUGGUUGUGACCUUGUCCUGUCUCUCCAUCACUGGCACACAAGAAGGCCCACCUAUCACGAUUCCUCACCUCAAACUAUCUGGCAGUUGCUGCUGGAACUGUAGGCAUUACACUGCUGAGUGAAAAAUAAUUUUCUAAAGGAGUUGUCUUUUGUCCUAUAGAAGGACAACAAAUGCUACAACUUGAUUUUGAGGGUGAAUCUAACUUUGGAUAAAGUCACUUUUUCCUUUCCUAAACAUUUCUAACAAUUUUAACAACAGGUCAUUUUUAUACAUAGUAGAUUCUUCAUAAAUAAUCCAGAACCAGUAACCACAUGCAGCCUGCAGGGGUCCAGAAUCACUGAUUGGAUAUACCAAGUGUUGACCGAAGCUGCCCUUUCUGAGACAGCCUGUCCUCCUUGGCCUGUGGACCUUUGUGACCCUGCAGUGGGGGUAUAGUGAGGCCUUUCUUCUGGAGACGGAACGACAAGCUUCUAAUCCCAGCUCUGUCACGUUCCUACUGGGCGACCUGGCAGGUACUCGACCUCUCUGACUUGAGGGGAUAUGCACAUUUCUUUAAGAAUGCAUGGAGUGAAUGAAAAUAACAUGGGGGUAUGAACCACAGAGUGAACAUGUACCACAAACAACUCUUGUUGAAAUAUACAGUCCCGGGAAAUGUCACCGUCUUCAUUUACUAAAGUGUGAUGGAGAGGGGGAUUGCUGAACAAUCCCAGGGACAGACGUCAUCAUGGAAUGUCAGAGACGCCAAGGUGGAGUUGUAUUGUUAAAUAACCCCAAACAUUUUUCUUCAGAGGACUUUUGCCAAAGGAACCAUUUUCUAUUUGUAGAAAAUGCAUAUGUGAUUUAAUGACAGGACUCACCUAAACCCCACUCCUAAAGGUCUGUAUUAUUCUACAGAUUACUUAAUUUUUAAUAACAUAGACAUCAUUUUUCUUUAAAAAGUAAGAUUUGAAGUUCUUUCUGA
RNAcentral lists this long non-coding RNA (1211 nucleotides) under Homo sapiens (human). Its description in RNAcentral is "HSALNT0342602". The record is from RNAcentral. Lineage: Eukaryota; Metazoa; Chordata; Mammalia; Primates; Hominidae.